UACGGAGGGGGCGAGCGUUACCCGGAUUUACUGGGUGUAAAGGGCGUGUAGGCGGUCUUUCAAGUCCGAUGCUAAAGACCGAAGCUCAACUUCGGGGGUGCGUUGGAUACUGUGAGGCUAGACGGUCGGAGAGGGUAGCGGAAUUUCCGGAGUAGCGGUGAAAUGCGCAGAUACCGGAAGGAACGCCGAUAGCGAAAGCAGCUACCUGGACGAUUUGUGACGCUGGGGCGCGAAAGCGUGGGGAGCAAGCCGG
This 253-nucleotide ribosomal RNA is filed under the name uncultured bacterium. RNAcentral describes it as "partial 16S ribosomal RNA". It matches the Rfam family "Bacterial small subunit ribosomal RNA", at positions 524 to 776 of the family's 1533-position model. The record is from RNAcentral.